AACGAACGCUGGCGGCAGGCCUGAGGCAUGCAAGUCGAACGAGAAAGCCCUUUCGGGGGCAAGUAGAGUGGCGCACGGGUGCGUAAUACGUGGGAACUUACCUAUUGGUAGGGAAUAACCAUUAGAAAUGAUGGCUAAUACCCUAUGGUCCCUUCGGGGUAAAGAUUUAUCGCCAAUAGAUAGGCCCGCGCCAGAUUAGCUUGUUGGUGAGGUAAUGGCUCACCAAGGCAAUGAUCUGUAGCUGGUUUGAGAGGAUGAUCAGCCACACCGGAACUGAGACACGGUCCGGACUCCUACGGGAGGCAGCAGCUAGGGAUAUUGGACAAUGGGCGAAAGCCUGAUCCAGCCAUGCCGCGUGAGUGAUGAAGGCCUUAGGGUUGUAAAGCUCUUUCAACGGUGAAGAUAAUGACGGUAACCGUAGAAGAAGCCCCGGCUAACUUCGUGCCAGCAGCCGCGGUAAU
RNAcentral lists this ribosomal RNA (461 nucleotides) under uncultured bacterium. RNAcentral's name for it is "bacterial SSU rRNA". It matches the Rfam family "Bacterial small subunit ribosomal RNA", at positions 29 to 524 of the family's 1533-position model. The record is from RNAcentral.